RNAcentral lists this ribosomal RNA (447 nucleotides) under uncultured bacterium. Its description in RNAcentral is "partial 16S ribosomal RNA". It matches the Rfam family "Bacterial small subunit ribosomal RNA", at positions 29 to 507 of the family's 1533-position model. The record is from RNAcentral.
AACGAACGCUGGCGGCAUGCCUAACACAUGCAAGUCGAACGAUGCCUUCGGGCAUAGUGGCGCACGUGUGCGUAACGCGUGGGAAUCUGCCCUUGGCUUCGGAAUCACAGUUAGAAAUGACUGCUAAUACCGGAUGAUGUCCCCCUGGGAGAUCUUGGGGACCAAAGAUUUAUCGGCCGGGGAUGAGCCCGCGUAGGAUUAGGUAGUUGGUGGGGUAAAGUCCUACCAAGCCGACGAUCCUUAGCUGGUCUGAGAGGAUGAUCAGCCACACUGGGACUGAGACACGGCCCAGAAUCGUACGGGAGGCAGCAGUGGGGAAUAUUGGACAAUGGGGGGAACCCUGAUACAGCAAUGCCGCGGGAGUGAUGAAGGCCGUAGUGUUGUAAAGCUCUUUUACCAGGGAUGAUAAUGACAGUACCUGGAGAAUAAGCUCCGGCUAACUCCGUG